CAGCCGCCGCGGGAAUACGUAGGGUGCAAGCGUUAAUCGGAAUUACUGGGCGUAAAGCGCGCGUAGGUGGUUUGUUAAGUUGGAUGUGAAAUCCCCGGGCUCAACCUGGGAACUGCAUCCAAAACUGGCAAGCUAGAGUAUGGUAGAGGGUGGUGGAAUUUCCUGUGUAGCGGUGAAAUGCGUAGAUAUAGGAAGGAACACCAGUGGCGAAGGCGACCACCUGGACUGAUACUGACACUGAGGUGCGAAAGCGUGGGGAGCAAACAGGAUUAGAUACCCGAGUAGUCCCUGUCUCUUAUAC
Molecule: ribosomal RNA, 301 nt
Filed under: uncultured bacterium
Lineage: Bacteria
Description: partial 16S ribosomal RNA
Rfam family: Bacterial small subunit ribosomal RNA
Source: RNAcentral